Long non-coding RNA from Vombatus ursinus (common wombat), 508 nucleotides. RefSeq lists it as uncharacterized. The transcript has 3 exons. Lineage: Eukaryota; Metazoa; Chordata; Mammalia; Diprotodontia; Vombatidae. The record is from RefSeq and is a predicted model, not a curated record.
UUCAGGAGCAGGAGAGACUGCAGCAAACAAUCAGCUUUUCAGUGGUACCUGCUCUGUGCCAGGCACUAGGCUAGGUGCUGGGGACUCAGUCAGUCAAGAGGCAUUUAUUAAGCACCUGCUAUGUGCCAGUCACUGUACCAAGCCCUGAAGAUACAAUAAAGACAAAACACAGUCCCUGCUCUUAAGGACCUCACACUCUAAGGGGGAGGCAGCAUGCAAACAAGACCUUGGGACCACUGUGCAUGGAAGAAGAGUACCGAGUUGUGCAGUAAAUGGGUAUCCUAGGCAGAAGGAGGCCAGACAAAGAAGACCAGCCUGAAAUGGAAUGAGUAAUGGUAACUCCUCCCUCACAGUGUUGUGAACAAAUGAGAUAAUGUAUGAAAAGUAUUCUGCAGACCUUGAGGGACAAUUUAAGUGACGGUCAUCAUCAUCAUCUUCAUCAUCAUCAUCGCCAAUAUCUCAAGGGUUAUACACCAUGGGAACUAAAAAGCAUUCUUUCAUUUCUUAA